RNAcentral lists this ribosomal RNA (712 nucleotides) under Salmonella enterica subsp. enterica serovar Mbandaka. RNAcentral's name for it is "partial 23S ribosomal RNA". It matches the Rfam family "Bacterial large subunit ribosomal RNA", at positions 1 to 642 of the family's 2925-position model. Lineage: Bacteria; Pseudomonadati; Pseudomonadota; Gammaproteobacteria; Enterobacterales; Enterobacteriaceae. The record is from RNAcentral.
GGGUUGUGAGGUUAAGCGACUAAGCGUACACGGUGGAUGCCCUGGCAGUCAGAGGCGAUGAAGGACGUGCUAAUCUGCGAUAAGCGCCGGUAAGGUGAUAUGAACCGUUAUAACCGGCGAUUUCCGAAUGGGGAAACCCAGUGUGAUUCGUCACACUAUCAUUAACUGAAUCCAUAGGUUAAUGAGGCGAACCGGGGGAACUGAAACAUCUAAGUACCCCGAGGAAAAGAAAUCAACCGAGAUUCCCCCAGUAGCGGCGAGCGAACGGGGAGGAGCCCAGAGCCUGAAUCAGCAUGUGUGUUAGUGGAAGCGUCUGGAAAGGCGCGCGAUACAGGGUGACAGCCCCGUACACAAAAGCGCAUGUGCUGUGAGCUCGAUGAGUAGGGCGGGACACGUGGUAUCCUGUCUGAAUAUGGGGGGACCAUCCUCCAAGGCUAAAUACUCCUGACUGACCGAUAGUGAACCAGUACCGUGAGGGAAAGGCGAAAAGAACCCCGGCGAGGGGAGUGAAAAAGAACCUGAAACCGUGUACGUACAAGCAGUGGGAGCCCCACCACUAAGCCAGUGGUGAACUCCACAUACGCAUCCUUUGCUGAGGAUACGGUUAACGGAGCGAAAGCGACGUUCAACCUCAAAAGAAGCAGAGGGGGCUUAGUGGUGGGGUGACUGCGUACCUUUUGUAUAAUGGGUCAGCGACUUAUAUUCUGUAGCA